GCAAAGCAUGAUGAUGUUUCCAAAUGUUUCUGUUAUCCAAGUGAUGAUUUUUAUAACAUGCACUACCAUCUGACUCUUC
Pistacia vera is the source of this 79-nucleotide small nucleolar RNA. NCBI's taxonomy places the organism in Eukaryota, Viridiplantae, Streptophyta, Magnoliopsida, Sapindales, Anacardiaceae. The record is from RefSeq and is a predicted model, not a curated record.